This 177-nucleotide unclassified non-coding RNA is filed under the name uncultured Herpotrichiellaceae. RNAcentral's name for it is "sequence contains ITS2". The record is from RNAcentral. Lineage: Eukaryota; Fungi; Ascomycota; Eurotiomycetes; Chaetothyriales; Herpotrichiellaceae.
UCAACCCUCAAGCCCCCGGCUUGGUGUUGGAGCCUGGUCUGGCCCCCGAGCCAGAUCGCUCCCAAAGACAAUGACGGCGGCCACGGGCGCCCCCGGUACACUGAGCUUUUUAUCGAGCACGUGCCGGAAGGGCCUCGCGGUCCCGGUCCGCCUCCCCUCAGGGAGAACUUUUACCAA